Molecule: long non-coding RNA, 1476 nt
Filed under: Gallus gallus (chicken)
Lineage: Eukaryota; Metazoa; Chordata; Aves; Galliformes; Phasianidae
Description: lncRNA (ENSGALG00010000953.1)
Source: RNAcentral
AUGUGUUGCUAUAUUCAAUUCUAAAAAUAGGAAAACAUGAUUUUGGAAGCCAAGAGAACAAAUCAGCCGGUGGAACAUUUUUGGUUAUCACAGACCUGACAGUUGUCUCUCCGGUGUUCAGUUAAUAUUGCUGUAAGGAAAACAAAUGGAGAAAAGCACUCCCUGGCUGUGGAGAGCAUGUCAGUUCAAAGCCUAGGGAUGGAACAAGUGGCUCUGGAUUUUCCUUUCAAAACUACGUCAGCUGAAUUUAUGGACUUAAGAUCACUCUAAGAAAUCUUCUUACGUCACUUCAAGCUUCGUAUUUGAUUCCAUUGUCUCAGCUCAGUAUACUGAAUUACGUGUUAUUUGGUUGUUGGUGGAGACAACAAAAAAUGAGGGAUCUCUUGAACAGCGCUCUAUAAAGAGAGGUGUAUCGAAUUCUUAUAUCAACGCUGAAGUGACCACAUCUCUUUUGGUAAGACAGCAACUUGUCGUGGGACCAUCCUUCCUUGUAGCUCACUCUGUGCUGUGUUCGCUGUGGCUCCUGGUUGUGUUGCACUCCACCACUUCUCUGCAGAAGUGCCCAUUUGUGAUUCGUUCCCUGUGCACAAGUUUCACGAGCUGCAGAGGAAGCCCUGCACAGGGAGAUGCAGAAGGGCAGUUUCGAAGUGGGAAGAAGUGCUGCAAAAGCGCUUGGGUUUUGUUCAUGUACUGAGAAGGAUUCUGCAGACAGGCUGGCAACAGAGCACAUUCAGCUGGGCCUCACAGCUGGGCUGUUCCAGUACCAGCCUCUCUUGGAUUCUGAUGCGAUUUGCUCUGCCUCAACAGUAGAAGAGAUUUGGAAUCAGAAUGGAAUUGGGACACAGAGAAAAUGCCUCUUUUCAACACUUGUUAUUUCAUGACUUGGGAUUGAAAUGCUCACUGUUGUACCUGGGCAUAAUGAACAUACCAUGGUGCUUUCUGGAUUAAAAGUUGCCUAAGAGGCUUCAUCUGUACUCACUUGUACACAUCACACUUAAAAGAAGUAAAUUUCUGGGGGGGGUAUGAGUUGUAAUUUUAAAAAAAAGGGUAUUUCACAGAUUAUUAACCAUAGUUGUGCCACCGGGUAUCAAUCUAACGGCUAAAAAACCCAAUCACUGUGUUGUAGCAAUUGGUUACUUAACGUUUUGGCUUGUUUGUGUCGCUUUUGUUUUGUUUUGUUUUGUUUUUUUUAAACUAAGAGAAUGAAUUCCUUUGACUGACUGCAAGGCUCAGAAAAUACCAGUUAUCAAUUCUCUUCCUAAUGACAACCGAUGACAUGAUUUUUACAAACGGUUGAGCACUUGGCAAAUGCUAGCCAUAGAAAUCGAAUGAGCUGAAAGAAACUCCAGCCUGCCCCAUUGUCAUGACUGAGCUGACAGAUGGGAAAAAGAGAAGGAGGUUGCGAAGCUAUCCCAGAAGCCCAGGGGCACAGCGUGAAGUGACUGCUGAAGUGCCUUGCGAGACCCCAAGUGAGGG